UUGAGGGCUUAUAGCCAAAAAUGAUCAAAACUUUCAACAACGGAUUUUUGGUUCUGGCAUCGAUGAAGAACGCAGCGAAAUGCGAUAAGUAAUGUGAAUUGCAGAAUCCAGUGAAUCAUCGAAUCUUUGAACGCACAUUGCGCCCGCCAGUAUUCUGGCGGGCAUGCCUGUCUGAGCGUCAUUUCAACCCUCGUAACCAGCUUGCUGGAUGCGGUGUUGGGGAUCGGCCACCCGUACUGGGAGGCCGUCCCUUAAAUAGAGUGGCGGUUGCGCUGUGACCUCCUCUGCGUAGUAGCAAUAUCUCGCAGGCGGAUAGCGGUGUAACCACGCCGUAAAACCCCCAACUCUUCUUUGGUUGACCUCAGAUCAGGUAGGAAUACCCGCUGAACUUAAGCAUAUCAAUAAGCGGAGGAAAAGAAACCAACAGGGAUUGCCCUAGUAACGGCGAGUGAAGCGGCAACAGCUCAAAUUUGAAAUCUGGCUCUAGGGCCCGAGUUGUAAUUUGCAGAGGAUGUUUCUGGCAAGGUGCCUUCCGAGUUCCCUGGAACGGGACGCCAUAGAGGGUGAGAGCCCCGUUCUGGUUGGAUGCCGAGCCUCUGGAAACUC
Molecule: ribosomal RNA, 606 nt
Filed under: Hypocreales sp. MU-c18_50no.50
Lineage: Eukaryota; Fungi; Ascomycota; Sordariomycetes; Hypocreales
Description: eukaryotic LSU rRNA
Rfam family: Eukaryotic large subunit ribosomal RNA (bases 357-606)
Source: RNAcentral